This 253-nucleotide ribosomal RNA is filed under the name uncultured bacterium. RNAcentral's name for it is "partial 16S ribosomal RNA". It matches the Rfam family "Bacterial small subunit ribosomal RNA", at positions 524 to 776 of the family's 1533-position model. The record is from RNAcentral.
GACGGAGGGUGCAAGCGUUGCUCGGAAUCAUUGGGCGUAAAGGGUGCGUAGGCGGCUUCUUAAGUCUGACGUGAAAGCCCAGGGCUCAGCCUUGGAAGUGCGUCAGAAACUGAGGAGCUUGAGUGCCGGAGGGGAGAGUGGAAUUCCUGGUGCAGCGGUGAAAUGCGUAGAUAUCAGGAGGAAUACCGGUGGCGAAAGCGACUCUCUGGACGGCAACUGACGCUGAGGCACGAAAGCGUGGGUAGCAAACAGG